RNAcentral lists this ribosomal RNA (468 nucleotides) under uncultured bacterium. Its description in RNAcentral is "partial 16S ribosomal RNA". It matches the Rfam family "Bacterial small subunit ribosomal RNA", at positions 28 to 507 of the family's 1533-position model. The record is from RNAcentral.
GACGAACGCUGGCGGCGUGCUUAACACAUGCAAGUCGAACGGAAAGGCCCUGCUUUUGCGGGGUGCUCGAGUGGCGAACGGGUGAGUAACACGUGAGUAACCUGCCCUUGACUUUGGGAUAACUUCAGGAAACUGGGGCUCAUACCGGAUAGGAGCUCCUGCUGCAUGGUGGGGGUUGGAAAGUUUCGGCGGUUGGGGAUGGACUCGCGGCUUAUCAGCUUGUUGGUGGGGUAGUGGCUUACCAAGGGUUUGACGGGUAGCCGGCCUGGGAGGGUGACCGGGGACAUUGGGACUGAGAUACGGCCCAGACUGCUACGGGCGGCAGAAGUGGGGAAUAUUGCACAGUGGGCGGAAGCCUGAUGCAGCAACGCCGCGUGCGGGAUGACGGCCUUCGGGUUGUAAACCGCUGUCGCCUGUGACGAAGCGUGAGUGACGGUAAUGGGUAAAGAAGCACCGGCUAACUACGUG